GAGAUGUUAGUAAAACUAUUACACAGCCUUGUCAAGGCUGAAUUGCAGGUGAAAGCCCCGCACACCUCC
RNAcentral lists this transfer RNA (69 nucleotides) under Hypocryptadius cinnamomeus. RNAcentral's name for it is "tRNA-Asp". It matches the Rfam family "tRNA". From Rfam's summary of the family: Transfer RNA (tRNA) molecules are approximately 80 nucleotides in length. The record is from RNAcentral. Lineage: Eukaryota; Metazoa; Chordata; Aves; Passeriformes; Zosteropidae.